UACGAAGGGGACUAGCGUUGUUCGGAAUCACUGGGCGUAAAGCGCACGUAGGCGGAUAUGUCAGUCAGGGGUGAAAUCCCGGGGCUCAACCUCGGAACUGCCUUUGAUACAGCAUAUCUUGAGUCCGAUAGAGGUGGGUGGAAUUCCUAGUGUAGAGGUGAAAUUCGUAGAUAUUAGGAAGAACACCAGUGGCGAAGGCGGCUCACUGGCCCGGUACUGACGCUGAGGUGCGAAAGCGUGGGGAGCAAACAGGG
This 254-nucleotide ribosomal RNA is filed under the name uncultured bacterium. RNAcentral's name for it is "partial 16S ribosomal RNA". It matches the Rfam family "Bacterial small subunit ribosomal RNA", at positions 524 to 777 of the family's 1533-position model. The record is from RNAcentral.